RNAcentral lists this ribosomal RNA (491 nucleotides) under uncultured bacterium. RNAcentral's name for it is "bacterial SSU rRNA". It matches the Rfam family "Bacterial small subunit ribosomal RNA", at positions 24 to 507 of the family's 1533-position model. The record is from RNAcentral.
UCAGGACGAACGCUGGCGGCGCGCCUAACACAUGCAAGUCGAACGAGCAAAGAGGAGCUUGCUUCUCUGAGCGAGUGGCGAACGGGUGAGUAACGCGUGAGGAACCUGCCUCAAAGAGGGGGGACAACAGUUGGAAACGACUGCUAAUACCGCAUAAGCCCACGACCCGGCAUCGGGAAGAGGGAAAAGGAGCAAUCCGCUUUGAGAUGGCCUCGCGUCCGAUUAGCUAGUUGGUGAGGUAACGGCCCACCAAGGCGACGAUCGGUAGCCGGACUGAGAGGUUGAACGGCCACAUUGGGACUGAGACACGGUCCAAACUCCUACGGGAGGCAGCAGUGAGGAAUAUUGGUCAAUGGACGAGAGUCUGAACCAGCCAAGUAGCGUGAAGGAUGAAGGUCCUACGGAUUGUAAACUUCUUUUAUAAGGGAAUAAACCCUCCCACGUGUGGGAGCUUGUAUGUACCUUAUGAAUAAGCAUCGGCUAACUCCGUG